AGUAGUUUGAUCAUGGCUCAGAACGACGCUGGCGGCAUGCCUAACACAUGCAAGUCGAACGAGACCUUCGGGUCUAGUGGCGCACGGGUGCGUAACGCGUGGGAAUCUGCCUUGGGUUCGGAAUAACAGUUAGAAAUGACUGCUAAUACCGGAUAAUGUCUUCGGACCAAAGAUUUAUCGCCCAGGGAUGAGCCCGCGUAGGAUUAGCUAGUUGGUGAGGUUAAAAGGGCUCACCAAGGCGACGAUCCUUAGCUGGUCUGAGAGGAUGAUCAGCCACACUGGGACUGAGACACGGCCCAGACUCCUACGGGAGGCAGCAGUGGGGAAUAUUGGACAAUGGGCGAAAGCCUGAUCCAGCAAUGCCGCGUGAGUGAUGAAGGCCUUAGGGUUGUAAAGCUCUUUUACCCGGGAUGAUAAUGACAGUACCGGGAGAAUAAGCCCCGGCUAACUCCGUG
Molecule: ribosomal RNA, 455 nt
Filed under: uncultured bacterium
Lineage: Bacteria
Description: bacterial SSU rRNA
Rfam family: Bacterial small subunit ribosomal RNA
Source: RNAcentral